AUGGUGGAUUCACAAUCCACUGCCUUGAUCCACUUGGCUACAUCCGCCCCUUAUCCAGCUAAAGGAUUUUUUUCUUUUUUCCAUUGAUCAUUAUUCUAUUUCGAUCGUAUACUGAGGUGCUCCCCGUCGGUUGUUGGAACGACGCGAGCCGGGCUGGGCCUCGAUUCCUUUCAAAAAUAUGAAGGGACAGAGGUGACUAAUUCCCCAUCUCAUUUGGGGCGUAAUGAAACCAUUCCAUUGCUACCAACCCACAGAAAUACGACCUCUGAGAUAUACGGUUUAUGCCGGAAAGGUACGAAGUUGGACUAA
RNAcentral lists this ribosomal RNA (309 nucleotides) under Triticum aestivum (bread wheat). Its description in RNAcentral is "partial small subunit ribosomal RNA". Lineage: Eukaryota; Viridiplantae; Streptophyta; Magnoliopsida; Poales; Poaceae. The record is from RNAcentral.